GACGAACGCUGGCGGCGUGCCUAAUACAUGCAAGUAGAACGCUGAAGGAGGAGCUUGCUUCUCCGGAUGAGUUGCGAACGGGUGAGUAACGCGUAGGUAACCUGCCUGGUAGCGGGGGAUAACUAUUGGAAACGAUAGCUAAUACCGCAUAAGAGUAGAUGUUGCAUGACAUUUGCUUAAAAGGUGCAAUUGCAUCACUACCAGAUGGACCUGCGUUGUAUUAGCUAGUUCUUGGGGUAACGGCUCACCAAGGCGACGAUACAUAGCCGACCUGAGAGGGUGAUCGGCCACACUGGGACUGAGACACGGCCCAGACUCCUACGGGAGGCAGCAGUAGGGAAUCUUCGGCAAUGGACGGAAGUCUGACCGAGCAACGCCGCGUGAGUGAAGAAGGUUUUCGGAUCGUAAAGCUCUGUUGUAAGAGAAGAACGAGUGUGAGAGUGGAAAGUUCACACUGUGACGG
This 463-nucleotide ribosomal RNA is filed under the name Streptococcus mitis. RNAcentral's name for it is "bacterial SSU rRNA". It matches the Rfam family "Bacterial small subunit ribosomal RNA", at positions 28 to 475 of the family's 1533-position model. Lineage: Bacteria; Bacillati; Bacillota; Bacilli; Lactobacillales; Streptococcaceae. The record is from RNAcentral.